This is a long non-coding RNA of Peromyscus leucopus (white-footed mouse), 3556 nucleotides long. RefSeq lists it as uncharacterized. NCBI's taxonomy places the organism in Eukaryota, Metazoa, Chordata, Mammalia, Rodentia, Cricetidae. The transcript is spliced from 2 exons. The record is from RefSeq and is a predicted model, not a curated record.
UUCAAAGGGGAAAAGGUAGACUAGCUUCUUAGAAUAUUGCAAAUUUUCUUUUACUAAACUCUUAUAUAGUUUGUCAGUUUUAUAAAUCCACAGCUGAAAAUCCAACGCAAAUGACCCAGUCAUAUAGGAAGUGUGUUCACUUGCAGCCAGUUGAAGAUUAUGGUGAAAGAAAGUGGACAGGACAAAAGCCAACUAGCCAUGGCCCCUCUUCUCCACCAUGAACCUGAAUAUUUAUGACUAUGAAGUUCAUCAUCUGAAAUAGCACAAUAUCAGCCAUAACAGAAGUGACUUGCAGUUUCCUCCACACCACAAAUGGUGCCACAAAGCUCUCUAUAAAUCUUGCUGAAUGGGCUGUUUUACCUCAUUUUUGUGAAAUGCCAAGCAGAGUUCUGUCAGGCUGGCACUCAUUAGAUGCUGCAUUACCUCGAGAAGGCCAUUAAUGGCCACUGGAGGUGUUCCACCGACUUAAUGAUGCCCAUACCUCUUGGAAAAUGUAUGUGUAUAGCUGUCUACGGCCCAGGUAACAUUUUUCUCUUCCACAUUGAGGAAGCUGUCAGACAUGAGGAACACGUAAACUUAAUUCUAGGCAAAUAAAAUUUUCCGAGGUUGCUUUUAAACAAUAAUAGCAUAUUUGCCUUUAUGACUCAUCAGAGGUCGUAAGUGGAAAAGUGGAAAUAAUAACAGAGAAUCAAAUUGUGUUUAUAUUUGAUAUGUAAAACAGGAUAUGACUUUGAUACAAUUUUUAUCACACUAUGAAUUGCAAUUCAUUAUUGGAAUUUAUGCUGUUAUGUACAUCAGCAUGAUUCCCAUAGCACAAUGAAAAUUCAAACUUUUGUAAGCACCAUGGAACUCUUCCCUGUGUAAAUCAACUUAGCUGUGCCUAAUGCACAGGGCUGAGACAUUUUCCCUCUCCAGAACAAACUGCAUUUUAAUGUGCAAACCCGACUCUUAGACCUAGUCAUUGGCCUUUUCUGGAUGCAAAUGGAAAAUUCACACCCUCCCUAAUAAAGUUAUUAAUAAUUAAUACCAUUUAUACAUAUUAAUAUUAUUAAUACUAGCAUUAGCAAUGUUUGUAUAAUUAAUGUUGUCAUCAUUAAUGUCUCUAGGAUACACAUUCUUAGUAUUAAUGUUUAACUCUAUGGUUAAUUUAACAACUACUCUUACUUGGUGUUUAAUAAUGAAGUGCUCAGAUUGAGAUAUUUCUGUCUGUUCUUUACCAGAAGAGAAAUGCUCUUUACUCUUUCUUGCUUUUUUUUUUUUAAAGAAAAGAAAUUGAAGGUGUCAACAGAUAGGUCGAUUUUGUCCGAGGUCUCACAUUUUGUAAACUAUGGGAUUGCCAUUUAUAUCUUAAUCAUUUUGCCUCCAGAGCUAAGCCCCGCUUACUGCUUCCCUCCAUGGCCUUUCAUCCAUCUCAAGGGUGAUGUGCAUUCAGCAGAAUGGAUCCUUUGCAUCUUAGCAAAAAUGCUGUUCAGUGAUACCUAAUGUUUUCAGUGGUUUGGAGAAGUUGUAAGUGUUCACACUGAGCCAACUCACCAUAAGAAAGUAUUUUCUUAUCCUGUAUGCACACUUAACUUUUUGCAAUUGCUUUUGAUUGAAUUGUUAAGCUGUGAACUGUAAGAUAAGUCUAGACUACUUCUUACAUAAGCAAUAUCUUUCCAUUUCAUGUUUCUGUUCGCUUUUGGGAGCAACUGAGGAUUGAACCCAUGAUGACACACAUGCUAUGUAAGCAUUGAGUGACAGAACUAUAUUUCCAGUUCAUUCUCAAAUUUUGUUUAUUCAUUUAAUCUAUUUUAAAUGUUUUUAUUAGUUCUUUGAAAUUUUCAUACAAUGUGUUUGGAUAAUAGUCAGGCCAACACUUCCCAUAGCUGCCACACUUCCCUACCCACUCAAUUUUGUGUUCUGUAUGUGUUUCUAUAUCUGUCAAGUCCAACUUGUGCUAUGUGUAUGUAUUCUGCAUUUGGAGCCUUCCCUUGGAGUGUGGUAGACUUGCCCAGAACUAUACGCUUAAAGAUACAUCACUUUACUUCUCCCAAAAGCUAAUAAUUGCUAAUGGCUCAUUGGCUAUGGGUGGAAUUUCUUCCCAACUACCCUCUCCAUGUUGAGGUUUGGUCUGGCUUGGGCUUGCAUGGGUCUUGUGCAUGCCAUAAGAGCUGAUAGUUCAUAUGUGCAGUUAGCCUGUUGGGUUUGGAAGACUGUUUCCCUGUAGUCAUCUACUGCCUCUGGCUCUGAUAUUCUUUCCACUACCUCAUUCACAAGGAUCCCUGAGCCUUGAUGAGGGGACGUGUGAUGUAGAUGUCCCAGUUAGGGCUGUGAAUUCCACAAUGUUUCAUUCACUGUACUGAGGACCAGUAGUCUCUUUGUUAAUCACCAUCUACUUCAAAAAGAAGCUUCUCUUGUGAGGUCUGAGAGAUGCAUUAAUCUGUGAGUAUAAAGAUCACCCACUAACAGGUAGUUUAAUACUAUGCCCAUUUAGCAGAGUAAUAAUAGUCCGUUCUCCCUAAGGUCUAUGACCCAUCUAUCCAUAGUUUCCUAGCCCAAAUAAUGAUGCCAGGUGUGCAUUUCAUUUUGUAGAGUGGACCUUAAGUCCAAUCAAAUAGUGGUUUGGUUAUUCCCAUAAUGUUUGUGCUACUAUUGCACCAGCAGGCAUGUCUUACCAGGCCAGUCAUUAGUGUAGCUCACAGGAUCCAUAGCCUAUUAACACUGAUGAUUACUUUUCUCCUCUGGUAGGGUACAUAGCAUCUUCAAGUAAAAAAGCAAAACAACCAACCAACAAACAAACAAAAACCCUGUAGGCACAAAGCUUCAAGAUCAGCAUUAGCUUGAUAUCUUCUUGUUCUGUGUCUCAAUUAUGUGAUGUCAUCAGUGGUAGGGUUUUACUGUAAAGUUCUAGACAGCAAUCCAUAUUAUCAGCAGUAGCUUGUAAUAUUUGGGGCCUAUGGGACCUCACUGGCCAACAAAGUAAACCCAAAAGUAACCCUUUCUUCACACUGAACUUUUUAUUGGCUAUGCUGUGGUACCUUAUGGGAGCAUUGUGGCCUUGUUACAAGACUUUAUCGUGUGUGUGUGUGUGUGUGUGUGUGUGUGUGUGUGUGUGUGUGUGUGUGUGUGUGUGUGUGUGUGUGUGUGUGUGUGUGUGUGUGUGUUUUGCUUUGGUCUGUAUUUUAAAAAAUUUUAGAAGUAGGCUCUUAUUCAGAAUCACAUGUCCCUCAAUUUUUCCAUUAUUUGUGCCUUAAGUAUGCACAGGUUUAAAAUUCUUUCCAGAUUUAAGAUCUUCAGGGUUUUUUUUCUAUAUUCCUCAUUAACUAUGGGAGAAUCAUUAACUAUAUGAGAAGACAAUUAAAUUCUUAACCUUGAGCUGUCAAGCUCUGCCAGUAAUCUCUAGGUGAUGGUUUUGGAAAAUGGUCAACACAGUAUAUGAUAUUAUCACGAUCAGAUCACUGAAAUCCUUUUCUUGGACUGUUCAGAUAGAGUGAAAUUUAGCCAGACUUUAAAUUAUAUUGAAUAGAUACUUGUGAAGUGAGUGGGGUCCUUUGAGCCAUAUCUAAUUGCAGGCAUA